UUAAGUUAUUAAGGGCGCACGGUGGAUGCCUUGGCACUAGAAGCCGAUGAAGGACGUUACUAACGACGAUAUGCUUUGGGGAGCUGUAAGUAAGCUUUGAUCCAGAGAUUUCCGAAUGGGGAAACCCAGCAUGAGUUAUGUCAUGUUAUCGAUAUGUGAAUACAUAGCAUAUCAGAAGGCACACCCGGAGAACUGAAACAUCUUAGUACCCGGAGGAAGAGAAAGAAAAUUCGAUUCCCUUAGUAGCGGCGAGCGAAACGGGAAGAGCCCAAACCAACAAGCUUGCUUGUUGGGGUUGUAGGACACUCUAUACGGAGUUACAAAGGACGACAUUAGACGAAUCAUCUGGAAAGAUGAAUCAAAGAAGGUAAUAAUCCUGUAGUCGAAAAUGUUGUCUCUCUUGAGUGGAUCCUGAGUACGACGGAGCACGUGAAAUUCCGUCGGAAUCUGGGAGGACCAUCUCCUAAGGCUAAAUACUCUCUAGUGACCGAUAGUGAACCAGUACCGUGAGGGAAAGGUGAAAAGCACCCCGGAAGGGGAGUGAAAUAGAACCUGAAACCGUGUGCUUACAAGUAGUCAGAGCCCGUUAAUGGGUGAUGGCGUGCCUUUUGUAGAAUGAACCGGCGAGUUACGAUUUGAUGCAAGGUUAAGCAGUAAAUGUGGAGCCGUAGCGAAAGCGAGUCUGAAUAGGGCGUUUAGUAUUUGGUCGUAGACCCGAAACCAGGUGAUCUACCCUUGGUCAGGUUGAAGUUCAGGUAACACUGAAUGGAGGACCGAACCGACUUACGUUGAAAAGUGAGCGGAUGAACUGAGGGUAGCGGAGAAAUUCCAAUCGAACCUGGAGAUAGCUGGUUCUCUCCGAAAUAGCUUUAGGGCUAGCCUCAAGUGAUGAUUAUUGGAGGUAGAGCACUGUUUGGACGAGGGGCCCCUCUCGGGUUACCGAAUUCAGACAAACUCCGAAUGCCAAUUAAUUUAACUUGGGAGUCAGAACAUGGGUGAUAAGGUCCGUGUUCGAAAGGGAAACAGCCCAGACCACCAGCUAAGGUCCCAAAAUAUAUGUUAAGUGGAAAAGGAUGUGGCGUUGCCCAGACAACUAGGAUGUUGGCUUAGAAGCAGCCAUCAUUUAAAGAGUGCGUAAUAGCUCACUAGUCGAGUGACACUGCGCCGAAAAUGUACCGGGGCUAAACAUAUUACCGAAGCUGUGGAUUGUCCUUUGGACAAUGGUAGGAGAGCGUUCUAAGGGCGUUGAAGCAUGAUCGUAAGGACAUGUGGAGCGCUUAGAAGUGAGAAUGCCGGUGUGAGUAGCGAAAGACGGGUGAGAAUCCCGUCCACCGAUUGACUAAGGUUUCCAGAGGAAGGCUCGUCCGCUCUGGGUUAGUCGGGUCCUAAGCUGAGGCCGACAGGCGUAGGCGAUGGAUAACAGGUUGAUAUUCCUGUACCACCUAUAAUCGUUUUAAUCGAUGGGGGGACGCAGUAGGAUAGGCGAAGCGUGCGAUUGGAUUGCACGUCUAAGCAGUAAGGCUGAGUAUUAGGCAAAUCCGGUACUCGUUAAGGCUGAGCUGUGAUGGGGAGAAGACAUUGUGUCUUCGAGUCGUUGAUUUCACACUGCCGAGAAAAGCCUCUAGAUAGAAAAUAGGUGCCCGUACCGCAAACCGACACAGGUAGUCAAGAUGAGAAUUCUAAGGUGAGCGAGCGAACUCUCGUUAAGGAACUCGGCAAAAUGACCCCGUAACUUCGGGAGAAGGGGUGCUCUUUAGGGUUAACGCCCAGAAGAGCCGCAGUGAAUAGGCCCAAGCGACUGUUUAUCAAAAACACAGGUCUCUGCUAAACCGUAAGGUGAUGUAUAGGGGCUGACGCCUGCCCGGUGCUGGAAGGUUAAGAGGAGUGGUUAGCUUCUGCGAAGCUACGAAUCGAAGCCCCAGUAAACGGCGGCCGUAACUAUAACGGUCCUAAGGUAGCGAAAUUCCUUGUCGGGUAAGUUCCGACCCGCACGAAAGGCGUAACGAUUUGGGCACUGUCUCAACGAGAGACUCGGUGAAAUCAUAGUACCUGUGAAGAUGCAGGUUACCCGCGACAGGACGGAAAGACCCCGUGGAGCUUUACUGUAGCCUGAUAUUGAAAUUCGGCACAGCUUGUACAGGAUAGGUAGGAGCCUUUGAAACGUGAGCGCUAGCUUACGUGGAGGCGCUGGUGGGAUACUACCCUAGCUGUGUUGGCUUUCUAACCCGCACCACUUAUCGUGGUGGGAGACAGUGUCAGGCGGGCAGUUUGACUGGGGCGGUCGCCUCCUAAAAGGUAACGGAGGCGCUCAAAGGUUCCCUCAGAAUGGUUGGAAAUCAUUCAUAGAGUGUAAAGGCAUAAGGGAGCUUGACUGCGAGACCUACAAGUCGAGCAGGGUCGAAAGACGGACUUAGUGAUCCGGUGGUUCCGCAUGGAAGGGCCAUCGCUCAACGGAUAAAAGCUACCCCGGGGAUAACAGGCUUAUCUCCCCCAAGAGUUCACAUCGACGGGGAGGUUUGGCACCUCGAUGUCGGCUCAUCGCAUCCUGGGGCUGUAGUCGGUCCCAAGGGUUGGGCUGUUCGCCCAUUAAAGCGGUACGCGAGCUGGGUUCAGAACGUCGUGAGACAGUUCGGUCCCUAUCCGUCGUGGGCGUAGGAAAUUUGAGAGGAGCUGUCCUUAG
RNAcentral lists this ribosomal RNA (2680 nucleotides) under Staphylococcus aureus M0805. RNAcentral describes it as "bacterial LSU rRNA". It matches the Rfam family "Bacterial large subunit ribosomal RNA". The record is from RNAcentral. Lineage: Bacteria; Bacillati; Bacillota; Bacilli; Caryophanales; Staphylococcaceae.